Molecule: long non-coding RNA, 1150 nt
Filed under: Gouania willdenowi (blunt-snouted clingfish)
Lineage: Eukaryota; Metazoa; Chordata; Actinopteri; Blenniiformes; Gobiesocidae
Description: lncRNA (ENSGWIG00000004551.1)
Source: RNAcentral
AAAUUGUAUUACGCGAUUUGUCAUUUUUAAAUUCCUAAAAUGAAUCACUUUGAAUGCCUUGCUGAUAAAAUGUACUACAUAAUGUUUCCUUGCCUUAUUAUUGUCUAAUACAUUAUUUGCUGUCAAAUAAUUAUAGUUUUAAUCACAAAUUAUUACAUUUCCGGGUUGUCUGGACUGCAUUACUGAUGGACCAAUCAUUGAUGAGUUUGCCUUAGUGGGCGUGUCUUCAGCGGUAACCACAGUGACAGACGUGCGUCACUCGAGCGUUAAAAACUUGUUCUUUCAACUUGAAAGCGGAAACUUUUUCAGUCUCUAAUAUUCCUGUGAAUAAGAGCACGUUUACCUGCGCUUUGGACAGAAAUAACAACAUUUAUACUUCUGAUAAACAAACGAUGGACAAACUAUUCCAAACACCUUCGAUGAGGACUGUCAUCGUUCUCAAUUUCCUAAGGAAUGCGAGUCAGAUGCGUCACCAUCCGUACCUUUACGCCCAGGCCUGCACUGAUUUUACAAUGGACUGGCCGUCCUGCAGGCGACCACGGCCUGUAUUUUCAAUGUAUGGACCUCCCAUCUCUGAACCAGGUUGUGGUGGUACCCACACCGGGGAGGAAGGAGGCCAUCUGUGGGAUCAACAACACAUCUUGCCUGGCAGCAUGAGCCAACCUCCUGAGGUCACUGAAAGCAUUUGCUCUCCAAACCAGCUCAGCUUUGCUUCCACUGAUCCUAAUGCAGCUCAUGUCUCUGACAUUGUUGGAAACCUAUUCCUCUACAGCCCUAUUUCUGACUUAUCUGGAUGUGUGGCUGAUGGCUUCCCUCUGCAGAGACAAACUGUUACUGAAGCUGAGGAACAGAAUGUUUAACCCCAACAAAACCUUGACUCUGUUUUUAGGCCAAGUUACAGACGAUCCUCCAGCUCAGAGAAUGCUCAACCUGUGAACACUUGUAGUGUAAAUAUAUAAUGUAUAUAAUCCUCAUAUCCCUUUUAUCAAAUCAAAUAUUCAGUAUUUAAAAUGUGAUGUGUUAUUUAAACUGUUUUACACUUUUUUAAAGAAUACUACUCUCUAAAAAUCUUCAUAUUCAUGCUUCUUAGGUGGAAAAAUUAUAUGUGUGAUGAAAUAAAAAUGAGUGGAUGACAAUAAUAUGUCUUUGU